GACGAACGCUGGCGGCGUGCUUAACACAUGCAAGUCGAACGGAAAGCCCGGGCCUUUGUGGGUUGGUCGAGUGGCGAACGGGUGAGUAACACGUGAGUAACCUGCCCCUGACUCUGGGAUAACUUCAGGAAACUGCGGCUAAUACCGGAUAUGUGACCCUGCUGCAUGGUGUGGGUUGGAAAAUUUCGGCGGUUGGGGAUGGACUCGCGGCCUAUCAGCUUGUUGGUGGGGUAGUGGCUUACCAAGGCGUUGACGGGUAGCCGGCCUGAGAGGGUGACCGGCCACAUUGGGACUGAGAUACGGCCCAGACUCCUACGGGAGGCAGCAGUGGGGAAUAUUGCACAAUGGGCGGAAGCCUGAUGCAGCAACGCCGCGUGCGGGAUGACGGCCUUCGGGUUGUAAACCGCUUUCGCCUGUGACGAAGCGAGAGUGACGGUAAUGGGUAAAGAAGCACCGGCUAACUACGUG
This 468-nucleotide ribosomal RNA is filed under the name uncultured bacterium. RNAcentral describes it as "partial 16S ribosomal RNA". It matches the Rfam family "Bacterial small subunit ribosomal RNA", at positions 28 to 507 of the family's 1533-position model. The record is from RNAcentral.